This is a non-coding RNA of Eubacterium sp. CAG:192, 97 nucleotides long. Lineage: Bacteria; Bacillati; Bacillota; Clostridia; Eubacteriales; Eubacteriaceae. The record is from Rfam.
CGGAUGGUAUUCGAAAUGAAACUAUACUGAUGAAUAAAAUAUUUUUCACUAUAAAGAUUGGAGCGUAGCUUAUAUCUUGAAGGAAUGAGACUCAUUG